UACGGAGGGUGCGAGCGUUGUCCGGAAUCAUUGGGCGUAAAGGGCGCGUAGGUGGCCCGGUCAGCGUGCGGUGAAAGCUCGGGGCUCAACCCCGAGUCGGCCGUGCGAACUGCUGGGCUGGAGCACUGUAGAGGCAGGCGGAAUUCCGGGUGUAGCGGUGGAAUGCGUAGAGAUCCGGAAGAACACCGGUGGCGAAGGCGGUCUGCUGGGCAGUCGCUGACACUGAGGCGCGACAGCGUGGGGAGCAAACAGG
This 253-nucleotide ribosomal RNA is filed under the name uncultured bacterium. RNAcentral describes it as "partial 16S ribosomal RNA". It matches the Rfam family "Bacterial small subunit ribosomal RNA", at positions 524 to 776 of the family's 1533-position model. The record is from RNAcentral.